Eptesicus fuscus (big brown bat) is the source of this 541-nucleotide long non-coding RNA. RefSeq lists it as uncharacterized. The record is from RefSeq and is a predicted model, not a curated record. NCBI's taxonomy places the organism in Eukaryota, Metazoa, Chordata, Mammalia, Chiroptera, Vespertilionidae. The transcript has 2 exons.
CCCUGGCAGCUGUGUCCGUGGAGCUCCGUGCACCCCGAGAGGACGGGAGGACCGGAGUCCCGCAGCAAGGCUUUCGCUGCUCUCACCUCCCGAGAACCUGGCGGUGUCCAUGAAGGGUCAGGCUCAGGCCGAGGGCACCGUGGCGGCGCCUUCGCCUCCCCAACGCCCGGCUCAGCGCAGGGCCCCGCGUGAGUUAUGUUUGUAAGAAAAAGCACGAAAAGGCUCCGCUCCCCUAAAGGGUCUGCAGGCGACGAGGUCUCCGCUCGGACACACGGAAAUGUGGAACGCGCAAAUGGAAACAUCUGGAAACAAGGCAGUGGUCUUGGCCAGGAAAAAAGGAGCCGCGCUGGGCGUGUUGACCUGUGGCCAGUAUGUUUCUCCGCACGGGCAUCGCUAACCAUCUGGCGAACAGCAUCUCGUCUCGUACCAGCGUCCGAAGAAGGGAAGUGCCUUCUUCAUUUUGCGGAAAAGAACAUGGAGAUGCUGAAACCGGUUUGGCUCGGUGGAUAGAGCGUCGGUCUGCGGACUGAAAGGUCCCAGG